AUGAACGCUAGCGGCAGGCUUAACACAUGCAAGUCGAGGGGCAGCACUUGUAGCAAUACAGUCGGUGGCGACCGGCGCAAGGGUGCGUAACGCGUGAGCAACAUGCCCGUAUCAGGGGGAUAAUCCAGGGAAACUUGGUCUAAUACCCCAUAGCAAUUAUUGAGGCAUCUUAAAUAAUUUAAAGGCUUUGGUGGAUACGGAUUGGCUCGCGUGACAUUAGCUAGAUGGUAAGGUAACGGCUUACCAUGGCUACGAUGUCUAGGGGUUCUGAGAGGAAGAUCCCCCCACACUGGAACUGAGACACGGUCCAGACUCCUACGGGAGGCAGCAGUGAGGAAUAUUGGACAAUGGAUGGAAAUCUGAUCCAGCCAUGCCGCGUGCAGGAAGACGGCCCUAUGGGUUGUAAACUGCUUUUGUGUGGGAGCAAUAAGGUCUAUGCGUAGACUGAUGAGAGUACCAUACGAAUAAGCAUCGGCUAACUCCGUG
This 486-nucleotide ribosomal RNA is filed under the name uncultured bacterium. RNAcentral describes it as "bacterial SSU rRNA". It matches the Rfam family "Bacterial small subunit ribosomal RNA", at positions 29 to 507 of the family's 1533-position model. The record is from RNAcentral.